UGCCUUACUUUAGCCCUGCCAUAGAGGCUAGCAGGAGGUCGGAGCCCAUGAUGCUGUGUGUUGAAACCAAACCCAGUCAGUGGAACAGCAGCUCUGUUGAUGUGAGACCUGCGCAGGAAUUGGACUAAAGAAAGAUUCUGACUGCCAUAAUCUAACAUACAACAGAAAUUCUCCUGCAAGCACCAUCAUGCCCCAAAGAAGGCAGUCUCCUUCGUAAAAGCUGGAGAGAAACCCCGAGCAUGCCAACAUAUAACAGGCCUCCUCCACACGGCAAAUGACUGGCAGCUGCAGGCCGACCUGGGAAAGCAGCUAAGGUUUCCCCAACAUGUGGCAGCAACAACUCUCCGUCCAGACGUGGUGAUAACAUCUGAGGCUUCAAAACACCUCAUCAUUCUGGAACUAACAGUUCCCUGGGAAGAGCGUCUUGAGGAGGCCAAUGAGAGGAAAAGAGCCAAGUACCAGGAGCUGGUGGUGGAGUGCAGGGAGAGAGGUUGGAGAACCUUCUACGAGUCCACAGAAGUCAGCUGUAGGGGUUUUGCAGGGCGCUCCCUCUGCAAAGUCCUGAGUCGCUUGGGCAUUGUAGGAGCAGCUAAGAAGAGGGCCAUUGCAUCCGCGAGUGAAGCCGCAGAGAAAGCUACACGUUGGCUUUGGAUUAAAAGGGGUGAUCCGUGGACUGCUACUGGGACGCAAGUCGGGGCUU
This is a long non-coding RNA of Neoarius graeffei (lesser salmon catfish), 700 nucleotides long. RefSeq lists it as uncharacterized. The record is from RefSeq and is a predicted model, not a curated record. The transcript is spliced from 3 exons. Lineage: Eukaryota; Metazoa; Chordata; Actinopteri; Siluriformes; Ariidae.